GGUGAUUCAAAUUCCUCUACUCAUCUGUGCUUUCAUACCGUUGUAUAAACCAAACUUGCGAAGGAGACGAGCCACCUCACACGGUCACGCUCGCCUCUCUGCAAACGGAUACGCUUUCUCUCUCUCUCUUUCUCAUCCUUUGUUGAGUUCCAGUAGGAGAAACCCUUGGCAUCGACCGGAGAAUCUACCUCUCACACUCUCUGCGGCAGGGUACGAAGGAGAUGGUUUCUGCAGAUGUUCCAGGAGUGGAUGUGAUCGAUUACGUAUGCACCUCUCAUCUCAUCCUUUGUUGUGUUCCAGUAGGAGAAACCCUUGGCAUCGAUCGGAGAAGCGACCAUUGGCAUCGACCGGAGAAGCGCCCUCUCACACCCUAUGCGGCAGGGUACGAAGGAGAUACCUCUUUCCCACUGGCUGACUAGGAGAAACCCUUGGCAUCGACCAGAGAAGCUCCCUCUUACACUCUCUGCGGCGGCUGGGUACGAAGGAGAUACCACUUUCCCACUGGCUGACUAGGAGAAACCCUUGGCAUCGACCAGAGAAGCGCCCUCUCACACUCUCUGCGGCGGCAGGGUACGAAGGAGAUACCUCUUUCCCACUGGCUGACGUAUGCAUCUCUCUCACGUAGGAGAAACCCUUGGCAUCGACCAGAGAAGCGCCCUGUCACACUCUCUGCUGCAGGGUACGAAGAAGAUACCUCUUUCUCACUGGCUGACGUAUGCAUCUCUCCCUCCGUUUGGGUUUCUGCAAAUAUUCCUGGAGUGGAUUUGAUCGAUUAAGAUUCUUGGUUGCCAAGUUGUUCUGAUUGCAAAGCUAUCAGGUUGGGGGAUGAUCCAAUGGCGAUUUUAAGCAGAGGUUGUGAAAGAGCUGUAUGAGAAAAUGUUCAAGUUUGUUGAAGCUUUAAACUAUGCAUCCAAAUGCAUGGAUGUGGUCAUUGAUUGAAAGUUGUGCAAAUAGGCUGUCAAACCUUAGUGUAAAAUAUUCAAGCAAAUUUUAAUUGUAAUAUUUGCUUAAGAAAUUACUGAGGCAUGUGCACAUGUGGUGGCCAUUGACUUCGGUAUGUAGUUGACUAUCUUUUUUCUCUUUGUACAGAGUUAUUGUACCCUGAUUCCCUGAUCUAGGGGGUAGGUUACAACUAGCCUCUUGCCUUUAUAGUUUUUCCCUGAAAGAAUCCUCCAACCUUGGUUUAAAGCAAACACAAUUGUAUUGAACUCACUGAGAUGGAAAAUUGACCAAGACACCACCAUUUGGGCUGGGCCAUUUGGGCUUUCACUCCUCAUCAGAGAAACAAUUCUCUCCUAUAAAAGCUAGAUCACUUCUGGUUAAUUUAGUGCUUUAAUCACAAAUUCUUAUAUGUCAUCCUAAAGUGUGUUAUAUCUUCAGAUAUUCACUUCUGGUUAAUUUUCCUCACUCUUGAAAGGAAAAUAUCCUGCCCUUGCUAGGCGACAGUGUGCCUCUAUACCAUUUCCUGGGUCAAUGUUUGGUGUAAUCUAUGUUGAAUAUCUAAGUUGAAUCGUGAUCAUUUACUUGAGCAACAUGAAAUUCUCCCCUAUAAAAAAAAGCCAGAUCACUUCUAGUUAAUUUAGUGCUUUAAUCACAAAUUCUAAUCUGUCAUCCUAAAGUGUGCUAUAUCUUCAGAUAUUCACUUUUGGUUAAUUUUCCUCACUCUUGAAAGGAAAAUUUUCUGCCCUUGCUAGGUGACAGUGUGCUGCUAUACCAUUUUCUGGGUCAAUUUUGGUGUUAUAUGUUGAAUAUAUAUAAGAUCGAAUUGUGAUCAUUUACUUUAGCAACAUGAUUCUGCACAUCAAUCAAUUCUUACAAGUACCUUGUUUUCUCAUUUACCAGAUUUUGGACAAACAUAGCUAGAAUUCUAUUUGUAAUGUGUUUCUUCUCAAAUUUUGACGAAAAGCUACUAAAAGUAAACAAAUUUCUGAAAAAAAAAAUCUUUAAUUCCUGUUUGUAUACCUCAUUAAGAUGCUUCAUAUAACAUGAUCGAUCUACACCAAAAUCCAGGGAAAUAGGGUUCUCCUGGUUCUGUAUGGUGAGAAGAAAAAGAUAGGUGCAAUAUCGUACUCCGAUCCGCCAAGGUGACGAGAACUAGGAUGGGUGCAAUACCGUACCCUAUAACUAAAUUGUGCAAAAUUGAAGUAAACAAAUAAAGCAAGACCAAGAACUCUAAAUAAAAAGCUGCUUAACCAAGUCUAUAUUUCAGAAUCAAGAGGCACCACUGUAGGCUUUGAUAUGAAGAUAGAACUAGAAGAUCUUUGGGUUACAGGCUUGGGUUUGAGGAUUUGAGAAAAAUAAGGGUAGUUGGUCUUUGAUGGAGCUUUGAGGGCUGUUGAUGCUAACUUUUGAGGGCGAUCGGUUUUAUUGGGGACGAUUAGAGCCUUAGUUGGAGUUGUUGAAGAUUGGCGGAGUUUUGAGAAGUCCGGCAGAGCUUGAUCUUGAAAACUUCGAAGAACUUGAGAGGGACGAUCUUUCUUUUGGGGAGCUCUCUCUCUAAUUAUAGAAUUUUGGGAGUAAAAUUACAAGUGCUUUGUGAAGAGGAGUGUCCCUUUUAUAGACUAAUCGAGCACAUUUACAUUUCAUUUGGGUUUGGGAAAACAUUUGAGUUUCAUUUGGCACUGUACAAAAUUACAAUGAAAUUUGGUACUGUGCAUUUGGAUUUGCUUUUGGCACUAUUUGGAGGUACUGUUGGCGCUAAAAGUUGGCUUUGAUCUUGGGCUUUGGAUUCUUCUAUGAUCGUACCACGGCAUUCCACGUGUCAGGGACACUGUUUUCUGCAUUGGAUUGAUCAAGAGAGUUUUACCAAAAUUUUCUAAGCCUGGUACUGGCCUGACUGUCUUUUGACCUGGGACAGUUGGCUAGAUUAAAACCGUCCUAGCAGACGUUGAGGACCAAAUCAGCGUUUGGUCGAAGAUCUUGAUUUUGGGGAAGCCCGGUGUCACACCUCGUUCACACAGAACCGGACCGGUGAUCGGGUUAA
This is a long non-coding RNA of Macadamia integrifolia, 2983 nucleotides long. RefSeq lists it as uncharacterized. The record is from RefSeq and is a predicted model, not a curated record. The transcript is spliced from 6 exons. Lineage: Eukaryota; Viridiplantae; Streptophyta; Magnoliopsida; Proteales; Proteaceae.